RNAcentral lists this long non-coding RNA (844 nucleotides) under Mus musculus (house mouse). RNAcentral describes it as "long non-coding RNA chr3:84028437-84029281". The record is from RNAcentral. Lineage: Eukaryota; Metazoa; Chordata; Mammalia; Rodentia; Muridae.
AGUGCUGGGCUGUACCCCAGAGCAUGAAUACUCACAUGAAGUACAAGAUACAUAAACAAGAAGAGGCAAAUCUACACAGAAAGAAUUCCAAAUGACUUACAAUGGUGUACCAGAAUUCUAUGCAGUAAAUUUGCCUCAUGGAAUGUGGAAUGAGAAGAGGUGGUGAGGAGAACUCACAGCAGGGAACCCUGACAGACAGCAAGACCAACCCGGAAUCAAAGCAGAAAGUGGCACUGCCACAUCCCCUCCCAAGUUGUGACAGGGUGGCAAGACAUCUUGUCUUCGUGGCCUUCCUCCUGACAUCCUAGGGAACUCAGCCAUGAGAAAAAUCAGCAGACAAACUGAAAUUCAAGGACAUUAUACAAACUACCUAACCCCCUCAAAAGGUCAUCAGAACUGAAGCGGCAGCUCUGACAAACUGAGAACCAACUAUGCCCAAGAAGGCAUGGCAACUAAAACUUCACGAGGGAUCCCGGAACCCAAAGCCCAUGAGCCCAAGGUCAGACUCAAAAGCAGGGGGCCCUUAGCAGGUGAGGAACCUUGGAGUGUGCUGAUUAGCACACAGCAUAAACAUCCAUACACUGAUGUAAGUGGUAAGCAGCACACUCGCUGAAUUCCCACUGAGAACUCAGGCAGGCUGCAGAUGCCUCAGCCCUGCAAAGGAAACACUAACGACAUCCAAACAAAGUUCAGAGUAAGAGACCAGUGUUGGCUUCAAGGCGAUAAAUGUACCAGAGUACUAGAAAACCUUAGCAGUGCCAACAGGGCAUCCUGCGUGACAAUUAUGCAAGUCCUCUCUCUGUAUCUCUGUGCCUUUUGUAUAAAUCUUCAUCUAUUCUAAAGC